UAUUUCCAGGGCUCUGUCCUCAUUUACGGUAACGUGAACAUUGUGAACGGUGAACACAGCAUGUAUCCCCGAACGUCCGACUCGGAGCGCUUUAAGCUGCAAGAUCUCGUCAUCAGCAAAGAUGUGGAUUUGAUUACAAAGUCUCGAAAGAGGCCAGAAUGGAAAAGUCGUAUAAAUGUUUCAGAAACAAUGGACAAGCAUAUUUGCAAGUGUUAACGAAUCCCGUAAGCACAAAAGUGAGAAUGUACAGUGGGUCAGUACAUGGCUUUGAAGGAUCACCUUGUUUGGGGACAGCCAUGCUGGCCCAUGCAUUACUGUUGUUGUUGUUUGGAUGGCGUGACCGCCAUCCGACUUUGAAGGUUCAUAUCAAUCAUAUGUUCGGUUCGGUGCAUGUUAUGAAGACAAAAAUACCACCAUUCGAUUCAGUAAAAAAAUAUCUCCUAAUUCCUAACGAUGGUUUUAGUCGAUAUCAACAUUGUAGCGAUUUAUGGCCUUUGAAAGUCAAGUGAGAUCGUAUAAGGCCACUACAAGUUAAUCUUUAGUUUCUGGUCCGCCGCCCGCGUUCUUUCUCCGUAAAGUACUAUUUCAGGACUAUUUUGUUAUUUACAAUUAAUUUCUAGUUCUUGAAAAUUUCCGCGAAGGAUUUAACGUAUAGAACGAUAAAUAUUCAAUUUACACUAAAAAGACCUAGCAAAAUGUAGUAUUGAAUGGUAAAAACCGCUGCCUUAACGAUGUUACGAGGUAAAAAAACUAGAAAUAUUAAUAGAUCAUUUUGAUAUGUAAAAUCCUUUGUAAUCUGUCAUGCAUGUCGAUUUAUAAAUAAUAUAAAUGCAAUUUAUGUAAAAUUUCAUAACAUUUUGAUACAAUUAGCAUGAAAAGGGACAAGAAGGACCACAAAAAUGUGGGCAAAGCCACAAUUGUAAUUAUGUCCUAUAGUCCUAACCACCCGCCCGCCCGCGUCGUAAACGGAGAUAAGGCCGGACCAGAAACUAAAGAUUAACUUGUAGUGGCCUAAUAUCAAAUUGCUAUUGUAUUUACAUUUCAGUUCCGCCUCUGAUCAGCGCUGAGCUAAUUCCAUCCAGAAAUACAAUUUUAAAAUUUUAACAAUGAGAUACAUGUAUCUAAAGAUGUUAGAUGCGAAACCAG
Molecule: non-coding RNA, 1146 nt
Organism: Paramuricea clavata
Lineage: Eukaryota; Metazoa; Cnidaria; Anthozoa; Malacalcyonacea; Plexauridae
Source: the annotation of a GenBank genome assembly